GACGAACGCUGGCGGCGUGCUUAACACAUGCAAGUCGAACGGAAAGGCCCCUUCGGGGGUCCUCGAGUGGCGCACGGGUGAGUAACACGUGAGUAACCUGCCCUUGACUUCGGGAUAACUUCAGGAAACUGGGGCUAAUACCGGAUAGGAAUCCUUGCUGCAUGGUGGGGGUUGGAAAGCUUCGGCGGUUUUGGAUGGACUCGCGGCUUAUCAGCUUGUUGGUGGGGUAGUGGCUUACCAAGGCUUUGACGGGUAGCCGGCCUGAGAGGGCGACCGGCCACAUUGGGACUGAGAUACGGCCCAGACUCCUACGGGAGGCAGCAGUGGGGAAUAUUGCACAAUGGGCGGAAGCCUGAUGCAGCAACGCCGCGUGCGGGAUGACGGCCUUCGGGUUGUAAACCGCUUUCAGCAGGGGCGAAGCUUGUGGUGACGGUACCUGCAGAAGAAGCACCGGCUAACUACGU
Molecule: ribosomal RNA, 464 nt
Filed under: uncultured bacterium
Lineage: Bacteria
Description: partial 16S ribosomal RNA
Rfam family: Bacterial small subunit ribosomal RNA
Source: RNAcentral